GCUAGUACAACCCUGUCUGUUAUAAAGUGUCCCAAGGUCUCAUGUAGUCUGGUCAGUAGCUAGUAGCAACCCUGUCUGUUAUAAAGUGUCCCAAGGUCUCAUGUAGUCUGGUCAGUAGCUAGUAGCAACCCUGUCUGUUAUAAAGUGUCCCAAGGUCUCAUGUAGUCUGGUCAGUAGCUAGUACAACCCUGUCUGUUAUAAAGUGUCCCAAGGUCUCAUGUAGUCUGGUCAGUAGCUAGUACAACCCUGUCUGUUAUAAAGUGUCCCAAGGUCUCAUGUAGUCUGGUCAGUAGCAAAUAGCAAC
Molecule: long non-coding RNA, 304 nt
Organism: Dreissena polymorpha
Lineage: Eukaryota; Metazoa; Mollusca; Bivalvia; Myida; Dreissenidae
Exons: 3
Source: RefSeq, a predicted model, not a curated record